RNAcentral lists this microRNA precursor (108 nucleotides) under Daucus carota subsp. sativus. RNAcentral's name for it is "pre miRNA mir-166". It matches the Rfam family "mir-166 microRNA precursor family". Rfam says of the family: This family represents the plant microRNA (miRNA) precursor mir-166. Animal miRNAs are transcribed as ~70nt precursors and subsequently processed by the Dicer enzyme to give a ~22nt product. The record is from Rfam by way of RNAcentral. Lineage: Eukaryota; Viridiplantae; Streptophyta; Magnoliopsida; Apiales; Apiaceae.
UUUGUGGGGGAUGUUGGCUGGCUCGAUGCAUUCACGUGUGAUGAUGAUCUGAUAAUAUUCGAGAUCGGAGCAUGUGGCGGCAUCGGACCAGGCUUCAUUCCUCUCAAA